Molecule: long non-coding RNA, 6443 nt
Organism: Gasterosteus aculeatus aculeatus (three-spined stickleback)
Lineage: Eukaryota; Metazoa; Chordata; Actinopteri; Perciformes; Gasterosteidae
Source: Ensembl
UAUUUCUGCAAUAUCUAUUCUAUUGUUGACGUGAUGCCAGCCCCGUUCCCCACGCAGCGAGCGGCCGGCCGGCGGCGAUCCGCAGACGUAAUGCGACAUAAUGGCCUCCGCCCACUGCUGAGGCUGCACGCUGGGCGCUUCAGUGCCCCCCCCUGACCCCGUCCCAGAGGAGGAUGCCCGUGUGUUGGUGGAGUCCAGCAGCUCAGCGCAGCGCGACUGAAAGGAGGUGCGGCCUCCAUUUUAUUCUAAGAACAUAUCGUCGUAAUAUCUUUCAAUUCAAUUCAACUUGACCCCAGAGGGCUCUACUAAUGGUUCACAUGCGACGUCUUCGCUCCGGUUAGAAAAGUGGAAGGAGACAAAUAACAACUAAAACAACCAACCUCAGUCUAAGUCUUUGCUAUUUAUGGGUUUGUCUCACAGCUUCGUCUUACUAUCACACUGUUCAAACUGAACCAGAAGUUCUAACUCAUCUGACUCAUCGAACUCAAAAGAAUACCGCGAAGACCUGGACGAAUCCAUUUGGGCCUUUUAGGCCUCUUGGGUGGCUGAAGUGCAUCUGGAUGCCGGGCUGCGUGGUGCUGAGCUCUGGGUCGGUACUCCGGGCCGAUACCAGCUGUGUGUGGGUUUAACCAAUGCACGUGCACACGGUGGCGCGCAGCACACAGCGGAGCCUUUAAUAACCGCACGUGUGGCUUUAGAGCGCUCAGCUUUGUGUGUCUGUAAACGUUUCGAGUUUAGAUCCAUCCAUCCAUCCAUUUUCAACCGCUUAUCUGGUCGCGGGGGCAACAGCUCCAGCAGGGGACCCCAAACUUCCCUUUCCCGGGCCACAUCUACCAGCUCUGACUGGGGGAUCCCAAGGCGUUCCCAGGCCAGUGCAGAGAUAUAAUCUCUCCACCUUGUCCUGGGUCUUCCCCGGGGCCUCUUCCCAGCUGGCCGUGCCUGAAACACCUCCCUAGGGAGGCGCCCAGGGGGCAUCCUCACCAGAUGCCCAAACCACCUCAACUGGCUCCUUUUGACGCAAAGGAGCAGCGGCUCUACUCCGAGCUCCUCGCGAAUGGCUGAGCUUCUCACCCUAUCCCUAAGGGAGACGCCAGCCUCUCUCCUAAGGAAACCCAUUUCGGCCGCUUGUACCCGUGACCUAGUUCUUUCGGUCAUGACCCAUCCAUGAACCGAGUUUAGAUGAAGGUCUAAAUAAACAAAUACAUAUUUUAUGAUUUUAAAAUGUCACUGUUGUACUGGUUUACUGUUUAUAAUUGACUUGAUAUGAUUACACAGUUUAAAUAGUACGUUGCACAGAGGUACAGAAGAAGAAGAAUUGCAUUCUUGCUGUGAAGAAAUGAAUGUAUUGAACUUGCUCUUCAGGAGGAAAGAACACAACAGUGAAGCUGAACAGCGGAACGUUGAUUGAUUUUUUUCUACUAAUGAGGCCAUUUUUCUGUUUGCAUAUUAAAAGCGCACAGAUGGUUUGUGUUUGCAGUGGGUUUCAUUGUGUGCCAGGGUUCAUCUUUGUGUUUGGCACUCAAGCUGUUGACUAGGAGCUCGGCAGAACGAGUCUUUGGGGUUUUAUCUGCAGGUAGAAGUUCGUCCUUCUGAUGGAUUUAUUCUUCCUUCCACCGGUGGAUUUCUGCUGCUGCUGCUUUUAAAGAGAAGAGAGAAUUACUUUGAUUGUGAGGCUAUUGUUCAUCUUUUAGAUGCAAAAUACGUUUUCAUUUAUUUCCAUGAAACAUGUUAAUCACACUAGUGGAGUCUGAGUUGUACACUGGUAACAUUCAAAUCUGUUGGUGUUUUCAAAAGGCGACAACGAUGCAAAUGCUGGCAAAUUAAACAGGAAUCUUCCAGAAAGCAACCAAGUGAUGGAGUCCCAACCUUCUCUUUAUUGGACAAACACUUUUAGAAUGAUACAAAUAUUCGUGGUCUUAUUUUCUCUCAUGUGGACUUGUGACUGUGUAGUGUAGUGCACGCAUGUGCUGGCAGCUUUGAUCUUCUCUUUUCAUUAUGAGAACGAGCAUUUUAAAAGAACACAGAUCACCAAAGGUGUUACAGGAGGGAAGAACCAAAAUGCAAAUGAAUGAAUAGAAAAUGAAGUUAGUUCUUCCUUGUAAAGUGUACUAAUGUAAAACUAAUGUAAAGUGUAGAUGGAUCGUUAGCACACAAUCUGACACUUGUUUAGCUGAUUUUGUUGCAACUUUACAUUGUGACUAAUUCUAAUGAGCUUUGUUGUCUGCAUCAUGGAGCCAACUAGUGGAAGCAUCCUUCUUAGUAGUGUUUGCACAUGGUGCGGUAGUCGUGUCAAUUUAGCUUUUGAUUUUAACAAAUUCAUUUCAUUUUGACGCAGCAAAGAAUUGGAACAUAUUGGAUUGUGGUAAUAAAAAUAAGCAGCAUGAGUAAUGUGUGCGCAUGCCUCAUGGCUAACCUGCCUCCAAAGACUGUCCGUCAGACUCCGACUACUUCAAGUCCAAUUUUCUACUUAAGAGUAAAACAUCGGGCUCCAGAUCGCUUUGUGCUCACGUAGAUCUGCAAGCUUACACAAUACCCUCCCGGUGGACCCUCCACCAAAACACUGUGUGGACAGAUCGCACUGACACGUGUUACAAACUCAGGAUUUAAUAAACAAUUACAAUAGCUUUUCUUAACAAUACACUACGUACUUUUAAUAUUCUACUGGCUGUGAUAUAAUAUAAUAAUAUUUUCAUGGCACAGGUUUUCUUUGACAUUCUAUUACUGGUGGUGUUACAUUGCUCAUGUAAAAGUUUGAGGUGAUUCUCAAAACAAUGAAGCAAAGUAAAGUAUGCCAUGAAAAUACCUUAACAAAAGGUGUAGUAUUUCAUAAAAACGUAACGCAUAUCAUACAAAUUCCAUAAAUGAGAUAUUAUGGUUUGUGUGGCAUAAGACUUUCUACCGCGUGUACAUUUAUAGGAUGACAAACAGGAGGCAGAACGAUCCAGAGAGAAGAUGUGGAUGAUCGAUCCAAUCUAGCCCAGAUAUUAUUCACGAGCCUGGACGAUGGGCAAUCACAAAAAACGGCAGAAUAGAAAAUUCAUACUAAAAAUCAAUAUGGCCGACAUCCGGUAUGGCGUGGAUCCUAAGUCUCUACGGGACACAUCAGCCCAUCAUCUUCCAAACAUCUAGGUCACACUUCCACGUUUAAAUGGGCGCUAUCGAGGCAAAUCUUCCCAUCAAAGCCCAAAUUCCAUUUUAAAUAUUGAUUUCCAUCAGAUAUCACACAAAGAUGAGUUUUUGAUUCAGAGAAAAAUCUGCUAUCUUUCCAUGGCGGACAACGAGUUACCACGACAACAGCGUUAAACAAAAACUCACAAUAUCCAUGAUAAAGUAUCAUCAAUGUCUCAAGGUGCAGUACAAUCGAUCAGGUCAAUCGGCCAGGAGGAGUACAUCAAAGUAUAAAACAGCAGGUGGCGCUACAACUUAAAAACGCGUAGCAUCAUGUAAACUGGAAUUACAACUCUCUAUCAUAGCGUCAUGGACUGUAUGUCCAAGAAUGUCCAAUGUCAAAGAAAUGUCAUUAAAAGGUCCUUGUAUUGUAUUUUAGGUAAAUAUUCUAGUAUAACAUGUCGUUAAAUAAAAUUGUAAUAUUUGAAAUAGUAAUGGUACGAUAUUUGAGACAUCAUAUUUUAUUUUGUUUUGUAUGACAAUAUGAUGUAUGAAUUUGUUGAGGUGUGAUAAUUGCUCGUUCAGUUGAGUGUCCAACUGCCACAAGCCGUGAUGCACUCAGUGGUCUGACAUGCACGUACUCACAUUCCUCAUGGAAUCCAGUUAACACCAUGAAAAGACCCAUGAGGAUCUUUCACAGACCCGUGGAUACGUGUUACCACUUUGUUUGUUAUUUCAGUUUGUGUUGUUCCUGCCUCUAAAUCAGCGUGUUACCCAGAAGCUUCACACUUACACUUUACUGUUAAAAUUCUAUAUUUCAUUGAAAUCCGUUCUGUGUCACUUUGCUCUCUGACUGCCUGAUCGGGCCGCGAUGGAAUCCAAAGAGCAGCCGGGACUUUGGGACUUGACAGGGUUGGCACUGCGACCUGGUCGUAAUUUAUUCAUUGGCUUAGGUUCAUCACCAGUUUACUCUGAACAAACCUUUGAGCCCUGCAGGCUGUUCCUUGACUCGUGAAAACCAACAAACACCGAUCAUUCAAUAAUUACGACUUCAUGGCCAAACUGAAACAAGUGGGCCGGUGUGUGCACGUACACUAUCACAGCUUCCAGUACCGCUGUUGGCAGACAGCGGCAUCGAAGUGUACUCUCCGAGUCAUUAACUCCACAAAGACGGCCUUUUCUCCGGGUGAAUGAUCCACCUAAUCUGCUGCGCUGGAUGUGCAACGCAGUGAAGCAGCGAUCCAGAACUCGUGCAUUUCACUCUAUAUGAAUUCAUUAUUUUUCUUCCGCCCUCUUUCCCGCUCUGAUCUCCUCAAACACCGGCGAUAAGGAAUUUCACACACGCUCCUUGCUGAGUCGGGAUCCCGCAUCUGAAAUGUGGAUGUGUGGAAUUAGGGAUUAGGGUGGUGUGGCGGCCAUGCUGGCGCUGCCGUAUGGGGAGAGAUGAGGAGGCGGCCGGGCUGCGUUCCUGCCUGCCAGCCUCUCCUAGAGAUACGGCCUCUGUCAAACCCGAGCACAUCCCCAAGUACGCCCCCGCAUCUCUCAGUGAGCUCAGGCCCACCUUCUCUGGCAGAACGCAGCAGGUAUGCACUUCCACCAAGAAGUGCCUCAGUACCUGUGCAUGUGCAUGCAGAUAAGGACGUUGAUGAGCAGGCAGUACUCCACAAAACACAUGGGUCAUUUCCAGUUUGACAGAGAUCCUCAGCUUUGACCAAAAUAGAUCCCCGAACUCCACCAGCUGCGGAUCGCCCAGCGAUAUUUAACUGGUUAAAGGACAUCUGCAGGCUCUGCUGUCCUUCAGAACAUAUUUAAAGCAAGAAAGAGCCUAAAAGGUCAAGAUUUUACAAAUCCCAACAGCUCUCUUCCCCACAGCAAUACUGUGUUUGGAGUUUCAACACGGAGGACAGCUGGAUGAACGUUGGAUGAAUGAGUUGGAUGUGUGAGGGUUAACGCUGGCACACUUUGGCAGAUUUUAGUUUAUGUGUGUUUCAGUAUCUUGAAAGUUUACGUGACGGAUAUUUACAAGCCCAAAACUGUUAAUUGCCAUAGCUCUGCUUUAACUUCUAAUGACAUGUACAGUAUCUUGUUUCCCAGUAAUUUUACAGUCAUCUACAGUUAGAGCUCUAUAUUCCUGUAUUCCCUGUUUUGGAGGGAAUAUUUAAACAUGCAGUAUCCCAACACAUUGAAGGCUAAUCUGGAGACGCACUUCUGACGACUCAGCAAAAAGGUCAGUUGUGUCUUCGUCUUCAGCAGUGUUCUGGUUAUUGAGCCACCUCGGAACAUUGAGGACACUAUUUUCUACCUUUCAGUGAUUAACAGGUGCAGUUGUUUGCAAUUCCGCUCACUCAAAAUAUUAGUUCUUUCAGAGGUCGUUGGUGGAAACGUUUGCCCCCUGGAGAACAAAUGGGGACACUUCCUUGGGAUUUCAUUCUUUGUACGUCAGGAAAGUGUCCAAAUGGGGCAAUGCAAAAUGUGACCACCACAUUGAGACUAAGGACCCCAUACGUGUACAGAUAUUUUGACUGCCAGUGUGGAAAUUUCCUUAGAAACAAGUCAUUUUAGUCCAAACCGGUAAACAGUUGAAGUAGAAACCGACAAUUGAUGCCAUCACACAAUAUGUGUAAUUCCCAAGCAGACAACAUAUUGUGUUGUCUAAUUUGGUCAAAUUAUCUCUUAUUGUGUCUGGAUUCAGACAUAAGUGUCCGCUGAAUGAACGUAGUUCAGUAAAGUGCAGAUCCAACAUCUUUUAAUCGAAGGAGUGAGACAACUUUUCCAGGUAAAUGUUAAAUCCCUUUCAAUGUUUUAUUUUUUUUUAUUCAAAGACUGUCAAUUCAUUUUUUUCUACAGUGUAAAAGGUCACAAUUUGAACUUAAGUUGAAAACAAGGGAAAUUGAAAAAGAAAUGCGAUUAAUAUGAAAACAUGUAAUAGAAGAACGACAUCCAUACAGUAUGUUCCAGUAAGCAAAGAUAUCACACGACUGUGUGAGAGAAAAAGAUAAAACCACAAGUUUAGAAAAGGUAUCACGUAUGUCGCAAAACAAGCUCAGUCGAGGAAGAAUAUGGACUACAGAGCAGGGUCAGCAACCAAAAUAUCAACAUAAUACUAUCAAAAAAAAUAUAGAAAAACUGUAACCCUGAACAUUUACAUGAAAUAUACAUAAUUUGAGUAAAAUCACAUUAAGAAGGAAAAACAGUUAUCAGAGGAAUAAAGGGGACAUUUAUGCUUUGAACACUCACACAGUGCAGUCAUAAGAAAAUAGAAGUGAAUGACAACAUAGAAUAAGACCAAAAGGAGAUACAUAUAAUAACAAUAUAUAGCCUGCAUAUAUAUAUAU